GCAGAUGUAGCUCAGUGGUAGAGCACUUGCCUAGUAUGUGUGAGGCAAUGGGUUCCAUCUGUA
Molecule: transfer RNA, 63 nt
Filed under: Fukomys damarensis (Damara mole-rat)
Lineage: Eukaryota; Metazoa; Chordata; Mammalia; Rodentia; Bathyergidae
Rfam family: tRNA
About the family: Transfer RNA (tRNA) molecules are approximately 80 nucleotides in length. Their secondary structure includes four short double-helical elements and three loops (D, anti-codon, and T loops). Further hydrogen bonds mediate the characteristic L-shaped molecular structure. tRNAs have two regions of fundamental functional importance: the anti-codon, which is responsible for specific mRNA codon recognition, and the 3' end, to which the tRNAs corresponding amino acid is attached (by aminoacyl-tRNA synthetases). tRNAs cope with the degeneracy of the genetic code in two manners: having more than one tRNA (with a specific anti-codon) for a particular amino acid; and 'wobble' base-pairing, i.e. permitting non-standard base-pairing at the 3rd anti-codon position.
Source: Rfam by way of RNAcentral